RNAcentral lists this ribosomal RNA (911 nucleotides) under uncultured Chlorobiota bacterium. Its description in RNAcentral is "bacterial SSU rRNA". It matches the Rfam family "Bacterial small subunit ribosomal RNA", at positions 8 to 916 of the family's 1533-position model. The record is from RNAcentral. Lineage: Bacteria; Pseudomonadati; Chlorobiota.
AGAGUUUGAUCCUGGCUCAGGACGAACGCUGGCGGCGUGCCUAACACAUGCAAGUCAACGAGAAAGGGGUAGCAAUAUCCCGAGUAAAGUGGCGCACGGGUGAGUAACACGUAGGCAAUCUGCCUUCAGGACGGGGAUAAUUUCGCGAAAGCGGGACUAAUACCCGAUUAUGCAGCGGCACCGCAUGGUGACAGUUGUUAAAAGCCGCAAGGCGCCUGGAGAUGAGCCUGCGUCCCAUUAGGUAGUUGGCGGGGUAACGGCCCACCAAGCCCGCGAUGGGUAGCUGGUCUGAGAGGAUGGCCAGCCACACUGGAACUGAGACACGGUCCAGACUCCUACGGGAGGCAGCAGUGAGGAAUAUUGCGCAAUGGCCGAAAGGCUGACGCAGCGACGCCGCGUGAGGGAUGAAGUCCGUUAGGAUGUAAACCUCUUUUGCAGGGGAUGAAGCUGCCGCUACAGGCGGCAGUCGACCGUACCCUGCGAAUAAGGGUCGGCUAACUACGUGCCAGCAGCCGCGGUAAUACGUAGGACCCGAGCGUUGUCCGGAUUUACUGGGUGUAAAGGGCGUGUAGGUGGGCGCCUAAGUCGAUGGUGAAAUCCUGCGGCUCAACCGUAGAAUUGCCGUCGAUACUGGGCGUCUUGAGUACGGCAGAGGGAGAUGGAAUUCAUGGUGUAGCGGUGAAAUGUGUAGAUAUCAUGAAGAACACCGGUAGCGAAGGCGGUCUCCUGGUCCGUUACUGACACUGAGGCGCGAAAGCGUGGGGAGCAAACAGGAUUAGAUACCCUGGUAGUCCACGCCUUAAACGAUGGGUACUAGGUGCUGGGCCGCAAGGUUCAGUGCCAAAGCUAACGCAUUAAGUACCCCACCUGGGGAGUACGAUCGCAAGGUUGAAACUCAAAGGAAUUGACGG